This 468-nucleotide ribosomal RNA is filed under the name uncultured bacterium. RNAcentral's name for it is "partial 16S ribosomal RNA". It matches the Rfam family "Bacterial small subunit ribosomal RNA", at positions 28 to 507 of the family's 1533-position model. The record is from RNAcentral.
GACGAACGCUGGCGGCGUGCUUAACACAUGCAAGUCGAACGGAAAGGCCCUGCUUUUGUGGGGUGCUCGAGUGGCGAACGGGUGAGUAACACGUGAGUAACCUGCCCUUGACUUUGGGAUAACUUCAGGAAACUGGGGCUAAUACCGGAUAGGAGCUCCUGCUGCAUGGUGGGGGUUGGAAAGUUUCGGCGGGUGGGGAUGGACUCGCGGCUUAUCAGCUUGUUGGUGGGGUAGGGGCUUACCAAGGCUUUGACGGGUAGCCGGCCUGAGAGGGUGACCGGCCCCAUUGGGCCUGCUCUACGGCCCCGCCUCCUACGGGAGGCAGCAGUGGGGAAUAUUGCCCCAUGGGCGGAAGCCUGAUGCAGCAACGCCGCGUGCGGGAUGACGGCCUUCGGGUUGUAACCCGCUUUCGCCUGUGACGAAGCGUGAGUGACGGUAAUGGGUAAAGAAGCACCGGCUAACUACGUG